AACCAUACUCCCAUCUGUCAUGGCAGCUGCAGCAAGCCUCACCCAAGGAGAGUCUGGCUGGAGGCCAAACAACACAAAACCAGCACACUUAACAAAAAUAUAACCAAUGACCCUUGCAGAGUCCACUUAACUCCCCUCCACCAGAGCAGGUGCUGGUAUCCACAGCUGAGAGACCUGAAGAUGGAUCACAUCACAGGACUCCUUGCAGACAUUCUCCAGUACCAGCCCAGAGCCUGACCUGUCCACGCUGAGUUUAUAGCAACUGUCAAUUACGGUUCAGAUUUUCCUACCCCAGCGUGACUUUCCAAAGAGGCUUCUGCUCAUGGAUUUCUGCUCCAGGAAGAUGCAACAGGAAGGUCCUCACAAGAUGGCUGAACAGAUGCAGGUGCUGUGCCUCUGGACUGCCUAGCCUCCAGAACUAUGCAAUACCAAGUAAAGACUGCAAAUGACUGUGCCACAGGGAGGAAAAGCAGUCAACCUGUCUUUAGGGACCUGUUCAAAUUUCUGGUGUCUCAGUGGAUGUUGAUUUCUGACAUAAAGCCAUUUGUGCACAUGAGGAAGAUACUGUAGGAGGCAUUUGCUGUGAGCCAGUGUUUGGUCUUUAGCUGAAACAGACAUUUAGCCAUAAACCACCAACCAGAAAGAUCAAUAAGACACGGUUCCUCUUCUGGUGGGCCACAUAAAGGAAGUUGUCAUGUUCCAACUUAAUGUGUGGGUUGAGAGGGAUCUGCACAAACGAGCGUCAUCGGGGAGAAAAAUAUAUCCCAGUCUGCGUGGUCACGGGGAGCUUCCUGGGCAAGCAACAUCUAGACUGGUGUUUGACCAAACUACUGGGCACCAUACCCCAGCCAAGUCAGCAUAUAAUGUGAACCAUCACAGUGGGAGACAUGUCACAAAGUGGUAAGACAGCAAGAAUUGGUGGUCUGGGCUGGAUUCCAGAGAACCUGGACUGUGCCUAUGAAGCACCACUGCCCUGUAGACCUGGGAUAAUAAACACUGAUGCCUAAAGGGACCAGGCAGUAGACCUGACUGGGGAGCUAAGUGAUCUCGUGUGACUCUCUAUGCCUCGUUGCCACCAGCGUGGGCCAUCUCCAGGGGCUCUCAAACCGAUAGAAGACCUUGCGGUGUGGGAAAACAGCUCCAGAGCUUCUAAGCUGAGCGGAUUGUUCCUAGUGAGGAAGGUCUUGUCCCAUCUGUUCCAAGCUAUUUGUCCAUGUAAAACUGUCAACGUUCCAAGCCACUGACUGACAGGGUAAGAAGAGUGAGUCUCAAGAGAGUGAGGAACGGUGAAUCUUUGGCAGACUCUGUGUGUGCCCAUGGAAGAGACAGUGACAGAAAUUAUGUAAUGAAAAAAAUGUAGCACAAGCCUUAUGAAUUUUUACUUUUCACUCCAUGGGAUUCCCAUAUCAAAAGACCUAUUCUACACAAAAUAAAGUUCUCUAUGAAGAAUUGUCUCUGCUCCCCAAGCUAGUUAAAACAAAAGUUGUAAUAGAAUAUCUGAGAACCAAAUGGCCCCUCAGGAUCCUAGAAUCCGAAAGACAAAUAGCAUGCUAAUAAAU
This 1559-nucleotide long non-coding RNA is filed under the name Homo sapiens (human). RNAcentral's name for it is "non-protein coding LINC02112:17". Lineage: Eukaryota; Metazoa; Chordata; Mammalia; Primates; Hominidae. The record is from RNAcentral.